GGGCGUUAAGUUGCAGGGUAUAGACCCGAAACCCGGUGAUCUAGCCAUGGGCAGGUUGAAGGUUGGGUAACACUAACUGGAGGACCGAACCGACUAAUGUUGAAAAAUUAGCGGAUGACUUGUGGCUGGGGGUGAAAGGCCAAUCAAACCGGGAGAUAGCUGGUUCUCCCCGAAAGCUAUUUAGGUAGCGCCUCGUGAAUUCAUCUCCGGGGGUAGAGCACUGUUUCGGCAAGGGGGUCAUCCCGACUUACCAACCCGAUGCAAACUGCGAAUACCGGAGAAUGUUAUCACGGGAGACACACGGCGGGUGCUAACGUCCGUCGUGAAGAGGGAAACAACCCAGACCGCCAGCUAAGGUCCCAAAGUCAUGGUUAAGUGGGAAACGAUGUGGGAAGGCCCAGACAGCCAGGAUGUUGGCUUAGAAGCAGCCAUCAUUUAAAGAAAGCGUAAUAGCUCACUGGUCGAGUCGGCCUGCGCGGAAGAUGUAACGGGGCUAAACCAUGCACCGAAGCUGCGGCAGCGACACUGUGUGUUGUUGGGUAGGGGAGCGUUCUGUAAGCCUGUGAAGGUGURCUGUGAGGYAUGCUGGAGGUAUCAGAAGUGCGAAUGCUGACAUAAGUAACGAUAAAGCGGGUGAAAAGCCCGCUCGCCGGAAGACCAAGGGUUCCUGUCCAACGUUAAUCGGGGCAGGGUGAGUCGACCCCUAAGGCGAGGCCGAAAGGCGUAGUCGAUGGGAAACAGGUUAAUAUUCCUGUACUUGGUGUUACUGCGAAGGGGGGACGGAGAAGGCUAUGUUGGCCGGGCGACGGUUGUCCCGGUUUAAGCGUGUAGGCUGGUUUUCCAGGCAAAUCCGGAAAAUCAAGGCUGAGGCGUGAUGACGAGGCACUACGGUGCUGAAGCAACAAAUGCCCUGCUUCCAGGAAAAGCCUCUAAGCAUCAGGUAACAUCAAAUCGUACCCCAAACCGACACAGGUGGUCAGGUAGAGAAUACCAAGGCGCUUGAGAGAACUCGGGUGAAGGAACUAGGCAAAAUGGUGCCGUAACUUCGGGAGAAGGCACGCUGAUAUGUAGGUGAAGUCCCUCGCGGAUGGAGCUGAAAUCAGUCGAAGAUACCAGCUGGCUGCAACUGUUUAUUAAAAACACAGCACUGUGCAAACACGAAAGUGGACGUAUACGGUGUGACGCCUGCCCGGUGCCGGAAGGUUAAUUGAUGGGGUCAGCGCAAGCGAAGCUCUUGAUCGAAGCCCCGGUAAACGGCGGCCGUAACUAUAACGGUCCUAAGGUAGCGAAAUUCCUUGUCGGGUAAGUUCCGACCUGCACGAAUGGCGUAAUGAUGGCCAGGCUGUCUCCACCCGAGACUCAGUGAAAUUGAACUCGCUGUGAAGAUGCAGUGUACCCGCGGCAAGACGGAAAGACCCCGUGAACCUUUACUAUAGCUUGACACUGAACAUUGAGCCUUGAUGUGUAGGAUAGGUGGGAGGCUUUGAAGUGUGGACGCCAGUCUGCAUGGAGCCGACCUUGAAAUACCACCCUUUAAUGUUUGAUGUUCUAACGUGGACCCGUGAUCCGGGUUGCGGACAGUGUCUGGUGGGUAGUUUGACUGGGGCGGUCUCCUCCUAAAGAGUAACGGAGGAGCACGAAGGUUGGCUAAUCCUGGUCGGACAUCAGGAGGUUAGUGCAAUGGCAUAAGCCAGCUUGACUGCGAGCGUGACGGCGCGAGCAGGUGCGAAAGCAGGUCAUAGUGAUCCGGUGGUUCUGAAUGGAAGGGCCAUCGCUCAACGGAUAAAAGGUACUCCGGGGAUAACAGGCUGAUACCGCCCAAGAGUUCAUAUCGACGGCGGUGUUUGGCACCUCGAUGUCGGCUCAUCACAUCCUGGGGCUGAAGUAGGUCCCAAGGGUAUGGCUGUUCGCCAUUUAAAGUGGUACGCGAGCUGGGUUUAGAACGUCGUGAGACAGUUCGGUCCCUAUCUGCCGUGGGCGCUGGAGAACUGAGGGGGGCUGCUCCUAGUACGAGAGGACCGGAGUGGACGCAUCACUGGUGUUCGGGUUGUCAUGCCAAUGGCACUGCCCGGUAGCUAAAUGCGGAAGAGAUAAGUGCUGAAAGCAUCUAAGCACGAAACUUGCCCCGAGAUGAGUUCUCCCUGACCCUUUAAGGGUCCUGAAGGAACGUUGAAGACGACGACGUUGAUAGGCCGGGUGUGUAAGCGCAGCGAUGCGUUGAGCUAACCGGUACUAAUGAACCGUGAGGCUUAACCUUACAACGCCGAAGGUGUUU
Molecule: ribosomal RNA, 2275 nt
Filed under: Escherichia coli O157:H7
Lineage: Bacteria; Pseudomonadati; Pseudomonadota; Gammaproteobacteria; Enterobacterales; Enterobacteriaceae
Description: partial 23S ribosomal RNA
Source: RNAcentral